RNAcentral lists this ribosomal RNA (406 nucleotides) under uncultured bacterium. RNAcentral's name for it is "partial 16S ribosomal RNA". It matches the Rfam family "Bacterial small subunit ribosomal RNA", at positions 29 to 526 of the family's 1533-position model. The record is from RNAcentral.
AUUGAACGCUGGCGGCAGGCCUAACACAUGCAAGUCGAACGAGUGGCGGACGGGUGAGUAAUGUCUGGGAAACUGCCUGAUGGAGGGGGAUAACUACUGGAAACGGUAGCUAAUACCGCAUACCAUCGGAUGUGCCCAGAUGGGAUUAGCUAGUAGGUGGGGUAAAGGCUCACCUAGGCGACGAUCCCUAGCUGGUCUGAGAGGAUGACAAGCAAAACUGGAACUGGGAAACGGUCCAGACGCCUACGGGAGGAAGCAGUGGGGAAUAUUGCACAAGGGGCGAAAGCUUGAUGCAGCAAUGCCGCCUGUAUGAAGAAGGCCUUCGGGUGGUAAAGUACGUUCAGCGGGGAGGCGUUAACCGCAGAAGAAGCACCGGCUAACUCCGUGCCAGCAGCCGCGGUAAUAC